CUGAAAGCCUCGUGCUGUGAAUAGAAUGGAUUUUAAAAAGCAAAAUAAAACAGGUUUGUAUUUCAUAUGCACUGGUAGGUCAGCUAAUAUCCUGCACAUUGUAAGUGUUUAUCUUGCAAAAAUAUUAUAAGCGUCCUUGAGAGAGAUUUGAUUGAAAAUAGCUUAACUGUGACUGACGAUGCUGCUUGCCACAUUGCCCAGCCCCAAAACAAGGACUCUCUUUCAUUCUCCUACGCCUUCCAGAAGAGCACAGUCUGGGUGAUGUGGGCUCACAAUUACUUCGUUCUCAAGAGAUGAUUCCUUACGAAGCUUCAGGACAAUUUUACAUAUUCAAUUUCUAUUCUUACUUCAGAAAAAAUACUCUUUUCUUGUUCUGGUGAAGGAGAAAUCUAUCGCGUGGGACAAUGAGGGGGAAAAAACAAUGCAUGUGAUGCUGGCUGAAGAAGGUUACUAAGCUACUGCUGUAUUCAGCAGGGUGCUCAAUGGCAGCGGGAGUAGAACAUGGGUUCAGACGACUGUCUCAGUGGCCAUCCAGAAGUCCAUGUGAAUGAUGCGCACUCGUCCACCCCGUUCCACCCUCACUUUCUCCACCUGGGAAGGAUUAAUGAAGACGGCUACGUUUGAAUUUAUGUGCCUGUGCUGAGCAUCUCUAACUAAUCUCUGUCAGCCCAAGUGUUCUCUAUUUGUCCCUCACGCCCUUUGCUGAGACUUGAAAAAGAAGCCAGAAAAGAGUCUGUAGUUAUCAGUUCUUUUUAAUUUGUGAAGCCAAGAGACCACCUUUAUUGUUGAAGUAUACAUGAAGGGUCAGAUAAUUCAUCUAUUGCAGACGACCAAGAAGCAUUCCUCAAGCAUUUUCUCUCUGGAUAUAUCUCCCUGCAUUCACAAUCCUCUUCUAUAGAAUGAAUUUUAGCCAUUCUAUGAUUCUACGAGUCUAUGAUAAUGAGAGAGACAAGGAAGACUGGAGGAACAGGAGCGAAAUAG
Molecule: long non-coding RNA, 981 nt
Filed under: Gallus gallus (chicken)
Lineage: Eukaryota; Metazoa; Chordata; Aves; Galliformes; Phasianidae
Description: lncRNA (ENSGALG00010007446.1)
Source: RNAcentral